AAUGCUCUUCACCAGGGAGGACACGAAGGAUCCCUCAGCCCCACUGAGCACAGACACCAGGUUUCCAGAGGGCCGCUUCUGGCAGGCCAGCUUUGAGGGCAACAAAGAGAAUGAGAGGGAGCCUGAGACCUGCUGAGGGAGGGCAGGGCAAAGAGAAAAGUGUUCGCUCAUCCUGCUGAGAUUCAAGGAGAGUCACCCCUGGCUAGAAGCUACAAUCAUCCAAGUGGGAAGUAAUGUCUACCGAUGUUCUGAUUUAAGUGAAUGAAGGUCUUCUUUCCACCUCGGGAAAUCUUGAGGGUUAUGUAACAGCAGCUUUGAAAGGCUUGUGAGAUGUACUUUGUGCUAGUCCAUCUCAAAUCUUCACCGGCUGUACCAAGAACAGAAAAAAAAAGGAAUUUGGUGAGUACUUUAUAAAGCUAAAUUUACUCAAUUAAUUUCACCUCUGAUUAUGUUUUUCAUGUAUCUUGGGACAUUAGAAUGUCCUGUAUUUA
Molecule: long non-coding RNA, 491 nt
Filed under: Homo sapiens (human)
Lineage: Eukaryota; Metazoa; Chordata; Mammalia; Primates; Hominidae
Description: novel transcript
Source: RNAcentral